AUCAAAUUAAUUUAUAUAACAUAAGGAUAGAAAGAAUUCAAUAAUAAAGAUUAGCGUAUAUUACACAAUAUAAUUUAACAUUGACAGAUAUUCUUAAAUCUAUCCCAUGUCGAUUUUUUACUUGAAAUAUCCCAAUGUUGCUAAUUUGAUGUCACCAUCUAACCUCAGGGGAUAGUUAGUGAAACAAAAAUAGCAAUAUUGGAAUAUCUCAGGCAAAAAAAUGACGUUGGGAUAAAUUUAAGAAUAUUUGUCAACGUUAGGUCAUAUGGUGUAAUAAACUCGAAAGAUUAAUAUGGACAUUUUUUUUAUCUCCCCCGCAGUAAAAAAGGGUAGCACAUAUUUUCAUCUUCCGAAAUUACCCCUGACAGUUUCUGCCAUCCCCCUUCCCAGAGCUCAAACCCACCGAGACCACAGUACGUGGUGGAUCCUUCCGACAGUCACCAGCCUCGCUCUAUCCUAUAUCCUACGGCAUUUCUAUGCCUGCCUGUUCUGUUUAAUUUUAAGUUUUAUCAUAGUACUCUUCUGCAUCCUGUUCUUUACGUUACACUGCACAUCAAAUGUUUGUUGAUUUGCCCAUAUGAAUUUUCAAGUAAAGAUGCUGUAGGAGUUUUACUUGCAUGCCAUGCCUACAAAUGGGGGAAACAAAUGUUCUUCUUAUGAUAGUGUGAGGAUUACAAGAAGCUACGGAUGAAGUAUCUAUCUUGGUUUAACAAAGGACGAUCCCUGUGAUUGUGUUGAAACAUCAAAAGAUUUAUAUGCCAACGCUCUUGAGGGGAAACAUCCUGAAGCUCUCUCGUGAUCUCCCCCCCCCACUUAAUUGUGGACACUGUUGAAGCUGAUGAGAAGAUCAAGUUUCACAUUUUGAAUGCCAUACGAAGCCAUUAAUAUAUCUUUCUUGUGAUUUUGGUAUUGGUUAUAAAGAGUAUAAAACUCAUUUGAUUUUGUUUAGUCGGCCGAUUCCUGAUGACAGUGCUUGUGUUAAUAUUUGCGGAAGAAGAAAGUGAUUGAGUUUUUGAUGGUGCCAUUGCUCCUGUGAUAGUUGAAGAAAAUGGAUGAUAGCAACCUUAAAGGGUCACCAUACUGGCGAAAGUGGUGAGUUGGAAGCCGGCGGAGGCUUUUCUGAUUGCGACUAGGAUGAUUCCUUUGAACCCUUUGACAUUACUAGCACCAAAUAAUGCUCCUAAAUACCGGCUUAGGAAAUGGAAGGUACACAAGUGGUCGUACAAUUUUCGACGAGGCAGCGGAGUUCAUGAUGUCCAGGAAACAAUUGAUAGAAUAACACAACGAUGUUAUGUAUGACUCAAUCUUGUUGUGUUGCAGCCUUAAUCUUACAUGUUUCAAUAACAUAUAUUAUUUUUAUUGGACCAAUGCACGUGCUGUUUCUCAAGUAGCUAUAGAUGUAUAUAAUAUACAGAAUUUGUCUUUUCAUAUAUAAAUUUUAAUACUGUAUAUUUCAGACCUAUGCAAAUAAAUAAUUAUUUGAGAGAUCAGGUAGUGUUUAUGUAAUAUUAAUAACCUAAUAGAUUAUUUCAUUUCCCAAUUUACUUUUCGAGAAAAAAAAAAAGAAAAAAGCCAAGACUUCGA
Non-coding RNA from Punica granatum (pomegranate), 1584 nucleotides. The record is from RefSeq and is a predicted model, not a curated record. NCBI's taxonomy places the organism in Eukaryota, Viridiplantae, Streptophyta, Magnoliopsida, Myrtales, Lythraceae.